AAGAGGUUGAGAUCCAUCUCACUUCUGGAAAUUUAAAUAUUGCAUACAUAGAGAGCAAUUAUGGUCUUUCUAUUUGUUCGAUAAUCGUUUGGAUGCCUUAGAACAUCUUUUGGCAACUAUAAGAUGGGACUAUGGGAGACUUCAUGCUUGUGGACCAGACACUGGAGGCUAGAUGGUGUAUCACCUUCUAGAGGCCAAGAAGCCAGAAAAACAACAGCACUUAAAGGAACCUUGUAUUAGUUUAAGUUCUGAGGGAAGAACCGUGAGCGGUUUUUGCAAGGUGAAACCCAUUCUUAUGGGUACAUGAGAAAUUCCCUGCUGGAGAGCUCCAAAGACAUUUGUGUCAUGUCUGUGGUACAAAAGCCUUUGUACAGGACCCAUUCAUGAGGG
This is a long non-coding RNA of Pezoporus flaviventris, 390 nucleotides long. RefSeq lists it as uncharacterized. The transcript has 3 exons. The record is from RefSeq and is a predicted model, not a curated record. Lineage: Eukaryota; Metazoa; Chordata; Aves; Psittaciformes; Psittacidae.